RNAcentral lists this ribosomal RNA (253 nucleotides) under uncultured bacterium. RNAcentral describes it as "partial 16S ribosomal RNA". It matches the Rfam family "Bacterial small subunit ribosomal RNA", at positions 524 to 776 of the family's 1533-position model. The record is from RNAcentral.
UACGUAGGGUGCGAGCGUUGUCCGGAAUUACUGGGCGUAAAGAGCUCGUAGGUGGUUUGUCGCGUUGUUCGUGAAAACCGGGGGCUUAACCCUCGGCGUGCGGGCGAUACGGGCAGACUUGAGUACUGCAGGGGAGACUGGAAUUCCCGGUGUAGUGGUGAAAUGCGUAGAUAUCGGGAGGAACACCAGUGGCGAAGGCGACUACCUGGCCUGUUCUUGACGCUGAGGAGCGAAAGCCAGGGGAGCAAACGGG